CCUACGGGAGGCAGCAGUGAGGAAUCUUGGUCAAUGGGCGCGAGCCUGAACCAGCCCAGUAGCGUGAAGGAUGACUGCCCUACGGGUUGUAAACUUCUUUUAUCAAGGAAUAAAGUGAGGCACGUGUGCCUUUUUGCAUGUACUUUAUGCAUAAGGAUCGGCUAACUCCGUGCCCGCAGCCGCGGUAAUACGGAGGAUUCGAGCGUUAUCCGUAUUUAUUGGGUUUAAAGGGAGCGUAGAUGGGUUGUUAAGUCAGUUGUGAAAGUUUGCGGCUCAACCGUAAAAUUGCAAUUGAUACUGGCAGCCUUGAGUGCAGUUGAGGUAGGCGGAAUUCGUGGUGUAGCGGUGAAAUGCUUAGAUAUCACGAAGAACUCCGAUUGCGAAGGCAGCUUACUAAACUGCCACUGACAUUGAUGCUCGAAAGUGUGGGUAUCAAACAGGAUUAGAUACCCUUGUAGUC
Molecule: ribosomal RNA, 460 nt
Filed under: uncultured bacterium
Lineage: Bacteria
Description: partial 16S ribosomal RNA
Rfam family: Bacterial small subunit ribosomal RNA
Source: RNAcentral